RNAcentral lists this long non-coding RNA (1647 nucleotides) under Junco hyemalis (dark-eyed junco). RNAcentral describes it as "lncRNA (ENSJHYG00000017266.1)". Lineage: Eukaryota; Metazoa; Chordata; Aves; Passeriformes; Passerellidae. The record is from RNAcentral.
GGAGGCUCCUGUGCUGCUGGGAACAGCAAAACUCCUGCUUGUCCCCACUGUGUCCCUGCCAUAGGGCUGGGACAAGUCACAGUGCCCACCCAGUCCCUGCUGAUGCUGCAGGUCCCUGUUCAGCAGCAUUCCCUGGCAGAGGGUGCUGCCAGCUCUGCUCCAGAGGGGCUGGGAGGGACCUGCUGGUGACUGCAGUGUCACUGCAGGGCAUCAAUCCACUGCUCUUCUUCUUCUUCUUCUCCUCCUCCUCCUUCUUCUUCUUCUUCCCCUUCCCCUUCUCCUUCUUCUUCCCCUUCUCCUUCUUCUUCUCCUUCUUCUUCCCCUUCUCCUUCUCCUCCUUCUUCUUCUUCUUCUUCCCCUUCUUCUCCUGCUUCUUCCCCUUCUUCUUCUUCCCCUUCUCCUUCUCCUCCUCCUCCAUUGCCAAGGGCAGCAGUGCCUCACAUCCCCACACCUGGGGAGGGUGACAAAUCCACCUCAGCCACAUCCAGAGCUCUGCCAGCAGCAGGGUGACAAUCUGGGGGAUGGCAGCACACCAGGCCAGCAGGUUUGGUUCUGUUUCCCUGCCCUCAAGGCAGGGUUUUGUCCCAGAUGGGGAUCAGCAGUGCAUGGGCAGUGAGCUGUGGUUUCCCUGCCCCUUGUCCCCGUCACAGUUUGCUGGGCUCUGGGCAGAGAGCAGCCCUGGGGGCUCUGCUGGGCUGUGCUGGCAGAGCUGGGAGGGCACUGAGCCUGUCCCUGCUGCCUUGGGCUGGAAUCAGGGCUGAGCACUCAGCACGUCCUGCAGGGCACAGCGAGCCCAGGGCCACACUCUGGGCCAUGGGACAGUGACACACCAGCAGCAGCACUGCCAGGCUCCAGCCAGACACCCCUUUGGUGGCCAGGGAGGUGAUCCCUGCCCCAGGGGCUCCAUCUGCUCCCACACUGCCAAAGGCCUGGGCCAGCAGGCCUGCCUGCUCCCACCUGCUCCUCACCCUGAUGGAGCAAAGCUCCUGAGCCCAGCAGGACCCCCAGGGGCUGGGCUCCGUGCCAGCUGUCCCUGGUGCAGGGAGGAUGAAGCCAUUGCAGCUGGGGGGCACCUGAAGCCUUUAUCCCCCCAUUCCCCAGUGCCUCCCAGUCCAGCCCAGCUCCCAAGGGCACGGGGUGGAACCGAGCCCCCAAACGAGCCCCUGGGCACUGGGGAGCCCCAGCUGGAGCCCCAGGGGCUCGGCCAGUCCCUGUGUGUGUCCGUGUGUCCCGUGGUGGUGCAUGGAGUGGUGUCCGUCGCGUGUCCUGCCGUGUGCGCCCGGCUGCUGUGGCCUUGCCUCCAAUAAAGAUGGUCAUGAACUCCUCAGCUGCUCCUGGCCUGCCUGGGGGUCAUUCCUGGCCAGCUGUGGCCCUCUGGGGACUCAAAGGGACAAUGCCACUCCAUGCUGCCGGGGCUGAAGGGGUGCAGGCAGCGAUGGAGUGGUGCUCAGUGCGAGCUGCAUCCGGCUAAAUUUGGAGCUUGCAAAAAAAUUUUUUUUUUUUUUUUUUUUUUUUUUUCAUCAGUGGGGGCUAAAUUUAGCAGGCACCGGUCACCAUCCCCCCCUGGCAGCCCUGGCUCUCCAGGGGUUUCAGCUCUUCCUGUGAGCUCCCACCCGCCUGUCCCACGGCUGUCACCUCUGCGUGUCC